Jaculus jaculus (lesser Egyptian jerboa) is the source of this 107-nucleotide small nuclear RNA. NCBI's taxonomy places the organism in Eukaryota, Metazoa, Chordata, Mammalia, Rodentia, Dipodidae. The record is from Ensembl.
GUGCUCACUUCGGCAGCACAUAUGCUAAAAUUGCAACAAUACAGAGAAGAUUUGCAUGGCCCCUGCACAAGGAGGACAUGCAAAUUUUUGAGUUAAAAAACUUUUGU